UUAUAGGAGAAAUUUAUUUUCUUUUAGAAAAAUUAUUUUAUUAUUAAUUUGUGGUCGUGUAUAAUAUAAAAAUAAAAUUUUUGAACAAAAAUUUAAAAAACUUAUUAUGAAAAAAGAUUUGUACCUUGUUACAAAGAGAAAAAUUAAGGUAGUUUUAAAAACAUAAAAUAAAUGGCAGUAGAAUAUUCAAAUUAAGGAAUUUUGAAAUAUAAAUUGAUAAUCCUCAUUUUGAUUUACUUUAAAAAAUUUUUUGUGUUGCGGUUUAAUAAAAUUUUUAAAGAAUUAGUUUAGUUCAAGUUUAAUAUUAUAAAUAUUUAAAGGAAAUUUUGAAAUGCAGUUUAAUGUUAAUUUUUAAAUUAUAAAAAUUAGUACCUGAUAGUAAUAAAUAAUUUAAUAAAUUAGCCAUAUUCUAGGUUCAUAUCGUCCGUCACUCUCAAAUU
This 440-nucleotide ribosomal RNA is filed under the name Oncaea scottodicarloi. RNAcentral describes it as "partial 12S ribosomal RNA". Lineage: Eukaryota; Metazoa; Arthropoda; Copepoda; Poecilostomatoida; Oncaeidae. The record is from RNAcentral.